RNAcentral lists this long non-coding RNA (4483 nucleotides) under Sus scrofa (pig). Its description in RNAcentral is "lncRNA (ENSSSCG00065042148.1)". The record is from RNAcentral. Lineage: Eukaryota; Metazoa; Chordata; Mammalia; Artiodactyla; Suidae.
AGUUCCUUUUGGGGGCUAUUAAGAAUUCUCUUUAACUUCAGUUUUCUAACACUUCACAGUUCAUUCUUCUUGGCAUGGAUUAGAUCUCUCUGCUUCAAAGAUUCAUGGCUCCCUUUAGCUCUGGGAAAUUCUCUAAUAUUUCUUUGGUAAUUUCCUCCACUCCAGCUUCUUUGUUCUCACUCUGGAACUUCUGUUAGUCUAGAUGUAGACCUCCUGGAUUAAUUAUCCAUAUAUCUUAUUUUUUCUCACAUAUUGUGCUUUUAAUAUAUAGUCUAGGUGAUUGGCAUUAAACUGUUUAUUGAAUUUUUAUUUAAGUAAUCAUGUAAUUCCCAAGAGAUCUUUCUUUUUAUUGAAUUAUUGAUUUUAAAUGUAACCCUGGUUUUGUUUUGCAGUUACCAAAUCUCUCUGAUUAAAUAGAUUUUCUUUUUUAAGUUUGUAUCUUUCUCCUAAAUUGUCUUGUAUCCACAGUGUAGUGUUUUCUGCUGUUUUGCUUGCUCACUUUUCUUUGUGUGUGUGUGCUGCCUUUCUUGGCAUAUUAUAUUUCUGGUGAUCUAUGGUUGGUUGGUAUGUAAACGAAUAAGGCAAUAGAAAGGCUGUUUGCAAGCCCUUCAACAGGUGGAUUGGUUUUGUGAAUCCUGUACUUGAACAGUCAAAGUUUGGAGGGUUUGCCUGGGAAUGGGGGAAGGGGACUCUUGACUUUCGAGGGUGAGGUAUUGACACCCAUGGUAACGAUCCUACUUCUCCCCAAACACGUUUUUACUGCCUUGAACAACCUAGUGGUGGCUUCAGAUCAGCCCUCAUGGACAACCAGGAGAGAGAGAAGUCUGUGUUACAUAUACAGGUGGUGGUUAAUACCCCUCUUUUCAGCCCCACCCACCUCAUCCACCCUCUGUUUUACCCACUAUUUCUGAGAAACCGAGUCUUUCUGGGGUGACGUUUUGCUUUUUUUAGGGCCGCACCUGUGGCAUAUGGGAGUUCCUGGACUAGGGGUCCCAGAGCUGCAGCUGCCAACCUAUGCCAUGGCCACUGCAACAUAGGAUCCGAGCUCCAUCUGUGACCUACACCACAGUGGAUACUUAACCCACCGAACGAGGCCAGGGAUCAAACCUUCAUCCUCACGGAUGCUGGUCAGGCUCAUAACCCACUAUGCCACAAUGGGAACUCCCAAAGUCAACUGACUUUUAUUGAAAUCACUCAUCUUCUAAGGGCCUCCUGCCAUUCUCUUUAUUGUUAUGGCUUUACACCUUUGUGCUCCUUUAGUAUCAUUUAGAAAGUGCUCUGCAUGAGAAAGGAGGUAAAUGAGUUUGCUUAGUCCACCAGUGUGAACCAGGACACUUUCUUUUUUAAAAAGAGAGUUUGUGAUUUUCAUGUGCCACAUGCUCUAGAAAUACCAGGUAGCUCUUCAUUUUAUUUUCAACUGUUUGCUAACCCAACACUUGAAAUCAGCAGUCACGAAAAGUUGCACAAACACAUCACUUACUAGAUGGAACCCCCAUAACAUAUACUAAAAAAGGGGCGGGGGGGAGUCUGGUUAUUUUCUCUACAUCUCUUAACUGAUCUUGCCAGGGGUCUUCAUUUUCUUAGGCUUUAGUAACUUUGGCAAUGUCAUUAACUUGCUUAAAAGUUCUAUUUUUAUUUUAGUUAUUGAAGAAAACAUGAUUGGAGGUCUUCAAUCAAAAUGUUUCCCUUCUUCCUCAGCAGAUAAAGGGGCAAAAACCUCAAGAGUAGCUGUGCCAAAGUAGAAGUAUGAUGUCUAGGGAAUUUUUGAUAUUGUUCAAUGACAGGGAGUUCCAAAUUAAAAUUGGUAUUCAUGUCACCUAUAAAAUUAACACAAAGAUUUUGAAAUAUGAUAAUUAUUGAUAAAAAGCACUAUAAGAUGGGGACUUUUCUAUACCUUUGGUAGGAACAACAAAAUUUGGUAUCAACUUUCAGGUACUACAAAAUGUUUAUAAUAUUUAACCUAGUGAUUCCUCUUGUUAGGAAUUAAAAUUAAAAAAUAAUGAGGUUAAGAUCAAGGUUCAUUUUUCAAAAUGUUCAUUAUAGGAUUAUGUAUACUAGAAACCCCUUAAAUGACAUAUUUAAAGAAAAAGGUAUAAAAUUUGCAUAUUUAUACCAUGGAUUACUUGUUCAGACAUUAAAAUGAUAUUGAUAAAUAGUUGUUAAUGAAUUAUUAAAAUGCUUAGGUAUAAUUUAGGUGAAAAGAAAAUCUGCAAAUGGUAUAUGUAUUAAGAUCUCAACCAUUCAAAAAGGAAAAGAAACUAGAAGGAAUCGUACUAAAAUUUUAGCCAUGGUUGUCUUUCGUUAAUGGAUUUAUAUGUUAUGUUCUCUUUUCUUGCUUAUUAAUAUUUUGUUGUAUUUUCUAGGUGUUUUAUAGUGAGUAUGCUUGGUUUUCAGCAGAAAAAAGGGAAAGACACUUUAAAUUAUAUGCUUCUGAAAGUAAACCUUUUAAAAAUGUCACCAAAUGACUCCUAUGGCUUUUCCCCCUGACCUUUUUACUUUUUUCUAUCACAGCAUCAGGAGUGGACUGUAUAAAACAGUGUAUGAAGUGUUUUCCAUUAUUGAAAGUUUCUCUCAGAUGCAUCUGGAAAAGCUUGCUGGUGUAUUAUGUUAGAUUUGCUGCUUUUUGCUCUCUGUUUCUCUGUCUCACAAAGUCUGAUUUAUAUCAACAUUGGAUAAAGAAAUAUUCAGAUUCUCUGGAAAGGGGAAAUGCAGCCGCUUCUUUGAAAGGCAUUUGAGAUGAAGAGAUAAACAGUGGACUGGGAGGCAGACCUUCGGCCUUAGGCCUGGCUGGCUCACUCGGUGACUGCUCUGAGUUUUCUCUGUGAAAAAUGAGGACAUUGAAGGGAAUAAUCUCAAAGGUUUUUCUAGUUCUUUUUUCUCUGAUUUUGCAGAUAUCUUACCCCAGCAUAGAGCAGUCAAAACUAAGAUACAGAAAUGACUCAGUAAGAAGCAUGUGUUCUAAUGGUAUGUUUCUUUAGUAUUUUCUGUGCUUUGAAAAGAGCACCUUGGCUUUGUAAAGUUACAGUUUCACAAGCCCAUUUGGAAGCAGAGAAAUCAGGCACUGCUCAGUAUAGAAGGCACAGUUGCCAAGAUUUCUAGCUGUAUUUUGGGUCUGGAAGGGGCAUCAUUUGCUCUCAGAAGCUGUGGACUAAGAUUUUUUACCCACAGAAUAUAAAGGUAAGGCAAACAGAUGAUUCGUUUUGUUGCAUUUGUUUCCCUCCCCAAUAAAAUGUACAGUCCAUGGAAUGUUGUGUAAAACAGAAACCCUUUUGCGUCAGGUGCUGGUGCUUGUGCUUUGUUUGGAGGAAGCUUCCUGGGCCUGGUGGGCUUCUGACUUUUCUCCUCCCUCCUAUUCUCCUGACUUUAAAAAAAAAGAUCCAAAAUAGAAAUUGCUGUAGUAUUUUUGUUCUGAUUAUAAAAGGAAAUGCCUGCCUAUUUUAUGCAAUUAAAACUCAAAAAGCCAACACCAUAGGAAAAGAUUUUUUAAGUAAAUAUCAUUUAUCAUCCCACCACACAGCAUAAUCUUGAUUAAUAUGUGGGGUAUUUUCUCCCAGACUUUCUUCUUCACCCAUGUACACAUAUUUAUGUGCACAUGCACACACACACGCACACGUACACACUUGAAAUCGAUAUAUCCAAUAACACUCUUUUGUUAUUUUAUCUUACAAUGUGCCAUGUCCAUAGAAUUUUACGUCAUCAUCUAGAUUUCCAGCAUAGUAUGACUCUGUAGGGUGAAAUGCAUCAUAAUUUAAUUAACUAUCUCUUUUGAUUGACUUUAUUCUGCUUCCAGCUCUGGCUCUAAGAAGCAAUGCUGUAAUGAAGAACCUUGUAUGUAUGACUUUACACCCUUGUUCACUUAUUUUUCUAGCAGAAUUUCAUGGAAAUAGAAUUUCUGUGACAAAAUGUAUAACAUAUGUGUAGUAUCUGUGUGUGGCUCUGUAUAAGACAUGCAUAAAAACAUGCAGUGCUAAACUGUCCUGUAUGAAGGCUGUUCCUGACAAUUCUUGUGCCGCCAAUGGGCCAGCUUUAUUCCUCCACCCUCUUGCUCCUCCUCGUUCCCUCAGGUGUUUCCAGUUGAAGAGAAGGCCAGCAAACUGCCUUGGGGGAGGGCGGGGGGGAGUGUCUCUGGGCUUCACGCAGGUGUGACCUCUGUCAAGCAGGCCCGGUUCUUGUGUGCUGGUUGCAGGAGUUCAAGCUCUCCCCUUACUUAGCAUUCCAUCUUACUCUUUAGCUCCAGGGAAAUUUUUUGCUGAACAAGAAAAGCAGUAGGAGUGUUUUGCCUUUACUCCUUUACUAAAUAGCAGGUGUCCAGGUUUUGACUGCCUAUUACAGGUAAGUGUUCCCACUCUGGCUUCCUCUGUGUGUGGUUGGUGUUUUGAGCAUGUUCAGUGCUCUGAAUUUGUUUUGCUUUAGGCUUCUACCCUUCCUCAAUCAUUACAUCCACCACACCCCCAGCCUUUCCACCUCAUGCACUAGAUCAGGG